GCCUUCCUAGCUCAGUGGUAGAGCAACGGUUUUGUAAACCGUCGACCCGGGUCCGAUUCCCAGGGAAGGCU
Molecule: transfer RNA, 71 nt
Filed under: Candidatus Woesebacteria bacterium GW2011_GWF1_31_35
Lineage: Bacteria; Candidatus Woeseibacteriota
Also listed under: 1 other name
Description: tRNA-Thr
Rfam family: tRNA
About the family: Transfer RNA (tRNA) molecules are approximately 80 nucleotides in length. Their secondary structure includes four short double-helical elements and three loops (D, anti-codon, and T loops).
Source: RNAcentral